GGGUGAGGGCUCCGUGCACUUCUUGGGCUGCGCGACAAGCGCGUAGUCCGAAGUUGUCGCGCAGAAAGUGCACGGAGUAAACCCACGGAUCGGUCCCAAGUCCGA
This 105-nucleotide non-coding RNA is filed under the name unclassified sequences. The record is from RNAcentral.